GAAAUGCGAUAAGUAGUGUGAAUUGCAGAAUUCAGUGAAUCAUCGAAUCUUUGAACGCACAUUGCGCCCUCUGGUAUUCCGGAGGGCAUGCCUGUUCGAGCGUCAUUAAAACUACUCAAGCUAAGGUUUUACCUUCUGCUUGGUCUUGGGUUUGAGGAUUCAAAAUCCUCUCUCCGAAAUCCAGUGGCGAAUUGUUUGAGCUGUAGACGUAGUAAAACAUUCUACCCGUUGCAAGCGAGAAUAAUAUUCAGCCAUAACCCCCAUACUUUUCUAGUUUGACCUCGGAUCAGGUAGGGAUACCCGCUGAACUUAA
This 313-nucleotide unclassified non-coding RNA is filed under the name uncultured Ascomycota. RNAcentral's name for it is "sequence contains ITS1". The stretch from base 1 to 105 matches the Rfam family "5.8S ribosomal RNA", at positions 50 to 154 of the family's 154-position model. The record is from RNAcentral. Lineage: Eukaryota; Fungi; Ascomycota.